AAUUUCAGAGCCAGAAAGAUCCUUAAAAAGGCAGUGUACUCCAACUUCCUCUGAAGCUUGUGUCCUACGUACAGAAUUCCCAACCACUCUGCUUGAAUGUCUCCAAAGAGGAAAAAAUUUAGAAGAGAAGACAAGGAAAAUUAAUCACAAGAUAGGCAAUGAAUAGGCAAGUGAAUGCUGAUAAUGCCAAGCUGUGUUUACAGUCCAAAUUUUUGCUAAAUACCUUCAACUUUGCACUCUCCCUGUGUGGUAUCUCUUGCCCAAGACAGAACUUCAAAUAAAAUCACAUAGGAGCUGAUGCAA
Molecule: small RNA, 303 nt
Filed under: Pan troglodytes (chimpanzee)
Lineage: Eukaryota; Metazoa; Chordata; Mammalia; Primates; Hominidae
Description: processed transcript
Source: RNAcentral